Molecule: long non-coding RNA, 2602 nt
Organism: Amphiprion ocellaris (clown anemonefish)
Lineage: Eukaryota; Metazoa; Chordata; Actinopteri; Pomacentridae
Source: Ensembl
CCUGCUAACAUCACCCUCCUUUGGACAAUUUACUGUCCAACCAUCCAGAGUCUACGCACUCAGUGUAUGUCUCGUGGUGGGGUACGCACUCACACUUGACAUUUGAGCAAGACAUUUAGGAACGAAGGGAAGUACAGAGCGUUUUCUUGGGAGAGACUGGGAUUGUUUUGGGAGUAUAUGUUUUUUUCAUGUUUUCUCUGACAGCAUGGAGUACUGCACUUUGAAAGGAUUCCUGGUGGUUUUGCUGAUACAACACUGCAAGUCUGAAGAUCUGUCUACCUCCAUCCAAUCCUCCACUGCGGUCGCCCACCAAGAUGGCCAGAGCUUACCCCAGGAUCCAGAGUUGCCCCCCGCAGAAGUGGUACCAGUAGCGUCCCCUCCUAGCCUGAAGGAGGUGCAGCAGGCCGUGCAGGAGGCAUCAGAGCAGGUGGAGGGUCGUGGGGCUGAGGAAGUGCUGAAGGAGCUGCUGGAGAGAGUGGUGGAGGCAGCUCUGGGACAGGCGGAAGCAGGGAACGACGCAAAAGCGGAUGUAGUGCAGGAAGCGGUUGAGGAGGAUUCACUGGGGACAAAAUCAAAAGAGAGUGAAGCUGAGGUAGAAGUGCUAGAGGAGGCAGUGGAGGAUGAAGAUAUGGGGGACAAGGAGGAAGAUACCGGUGUUGAAGAGAAGCAGGAGGUAGCAGAGGUGGAUGCACUUGAAGAUGUGGCCGAGGAGGGGAAAGGAGUUGUCGAGGCAGAGGGUGAAACAGCAGCUGGAUCUGUGGAGAAGACCACAGCCGCUGUAGAAACUGAAGUCAGACAGACAGAGGGUGUGGAGGUUAUCGAUGAGUCGCUGGGAAGUGAGGAGGAGGUUGUGGAAGGAGCUGUGGCUGCUUUAGAAGAGAAAGGAGGGGAUUUGGCCAUAGAGGAGGCAGGGGAGGAGGACAGCGAGGAUCAGGUCGUGUUGUCUGAAGAAAAAGGAGCAGCUGAAACAGAAAUACAGGAAGCAGAGGAAGCCCCAGCUGCUGUAGAGGAAGAAGCAGAAGGUACAGAUGUAGGGGAAGUAACAGGAGAUGAAAUAGAAGGAGAGAGUGUAAUCAAGGAGGAAUCGGUGGUAUUGGUGAAUGAGGAAAGCGUUCAAAAAGCAGGGGAGGAGGAGCAGAUUGCUUUGGAGACUUCAAACGGUGGUGAAAAGGAGGAUGAAGAAGUGGUCUCAGAGCCUGCGGAUGGUGAAGAAGCCUCAAUGGAGCAGAGCCCUGAGAACCAGGCUCCCACCUCAAACCCAUCCCUCAGUGAGGUGGAAACUGGAGAAAACACUCCUGAUGAGGAGAAGUCAGACCACGGCAACGAGAUCAUCACCACCACCGAUGACCUUUUGCCACAGGAGUCCUCUGUGGCUCAACCUACACUAGAUAAUUUCAUGAAUGGUGUUCUAGGUGAACAACCCGAGGCACAAGGAGAGGAACUAGGAGAGGCCAAUGAGCUGGUAGAAGAUACAGCUGGAACUACAGAGACAAAUGAGCUAGGCCUGGAGGCAUGGAAGAUAGGGGCUAUUUCCGCUGCAGUGUUCUUGGUUUUGGAGACUGUUGUCAUCAUUAUCUAUAUCCUCAAAUGUCGCAACAAAAACAGUACCCCGGCCCUACAGCGGGCAUGCGAAGAAGGGUGUGUUGAACCAGAGGCAGCUACAGGAGGUGACUGCAGUGACGACACACUGCCUGCAGGCAAUGGAGACACUCAACAGAUAGCCACGCUUGACCCGUCUGAUGUGGCUUCGACCCUGGCCACAACAAAGGAGAAGCAAGGAGACGAGCAUGCGAUAGCCAUGUCAGGCCUCCCGCCCGGCUCCACAGAGGAGUCAGCCAACACUGGACCAGGACCAGACUCUUCACAAGACCUCAGGACUUCCAUCCUCUAGGGGGUCCAAAUGUUUGUCUGUUCCUGCUGCGUCUAAAUGGAACCCAAAAAGGCCACUUUCCAAGCCUGCACCCAAUCCCAAAUCACCUAGUUACCCUAAAUUCUCAAACCCAACACAGACUGCCUUGGAGUCAAACUGUAAUAACUAGUGCACAUGUAUCGCAUUUAUAUUUGGUGUAUAUGUCUGUUUAUUUGUCUGUCUGUCUGUCUGUCUGUGUGUGCAUGUAACGUGAGCGAAAGAGAUACUGUAACACAUUUUGCAUGUAUGAAUAUGUGGAUGAGUGAACAGGAAGAGCAUGUUUUAAAAUACUCUGUGCAAGUGUGAGUGUGGAAAUGUGAUAAAACUGUUCUGUAUUUAGUUUGAUGUCUGUAAACUCUUUAGGCUGAAAUGGAAUUUUUUCACACUGACCACUUCAGUCAUGCUGUUCAAAGUUGUUGAAAAGAACACAGCAGGAGCAGCGACAAUAAGCAAUUUUCCUGUUUUAAUGGCAAUUCAGUACAGUGUGUUCACAAAGUGCUGGCAGUACCACAGAGUGCUAUAUCUGAGCAGUCUCAUUAAACUGUACAACACUGGCCUACGAGGAAAAGAAAGAAAAAAAACAAGAUUUUUCAUUACUGAGAUGGAUUUUAAAAUUUUAUUUGAUUUUUAUUCUACAUAACUCUUGACCUUUGUAUCAUCAUUUGUGAUUUGAGCAAUACAAAAUAAAGAGAU